GGUCUGUUCCUUUGUUUUUUAGUGUUACACUUUUGAGUGUAAGUGUACGAAAUUCUAUGGACAUUUGAGUGUAAAAUGACAGCGGAUGUGACAGCGGCUCAUGACAGCGGACAGUAUUAAACGAAAAUUAUCGGUGUGCCAAUCAAGCAAAGGGACAAGGAACUUCCGAAUAUGGCCUAACUGGGGGCACAUAACAUAACAUAACCUAAUCCUAAUAUUUACAUUUGUAAAGAAUAUCCUGUUUGUUUUUAUUGUCGAUUGUGCAGCGAAAUUGUGUGCAGCAAAUCAAAUAUAAAGUAGUUUAUCGCCUACAGAACUGAAUUAGUCCAUAGCAGUUAUCAGUUUUUCUUUCUUGGGAAGCUUAUACAUGUAACUUGUAUUGUUGUAAAUUGUGGGAGUAGGGCAGACAGGGAAAAGUCUUAUUUUGUACUGUUCCCAAGGCUCCCCAUGCAAUACAUUUAAAUGAAUUAUCCAAACAAAGCUGGGGACAAUGGAUAAAAGCCACAAGAAGAACAGAUAUAAGGGAACUAAAAUUAAAAUAUGAAAAGUAAACAUUUUAUAAGUGGAACAACCACCAGAUAUUUAAAAGGUAUAAAAAGAAGAAACUGCUGGAAUUUCAAAACAAAUGUGUUUGACUAGUAAAGAUUUGGAUAAAUAACAGGAGUUACUUUGGGCUAUAGCUAAGUGCAGAUUUAUUUCCUUGUGGCUUCCUAUGUUAAUUCUUAUUAAUUAUACACUUAAAUAUGUUUUUAGUCUCAGGAAGAUUUUAUAUUUGAUUAUUUUUGAAUAAACAUUAUUAUUAUUAUUACCUUAAUUUCCAUUAAAUAAAUUAACUGUAAUCAAUAAAGUAAUCGUUUAAUUGUUAAUAAAUUAUCAAGUAUGA
Diabrotica virgifera virgifera (western corn rootworm) is the source of this 883-nucleotide long non-coding RNA. RefSeq lists it as uncharacterized. The record is from RefSeq and is a predicted model, not a curated record. The transcript is spliced from 2 exons. Lineage: Eukaryota; Metazoa; Arthropoda; Insecta; Coleoptera; Chrysomelidae.